UACGUAGGGAGCAAGCGUUGUCCGGAAUCAUUGGGCGUAAAGAGCGCGUAGGCGGCCGUGUAAGUCCGCUCUGAAAGUCGGAGGCUCAACCUCCGAAAGCGGGUGGAUACUGCACGGCUAGAGUCCGGAAGAGGCGAGUGGAAUUCCUGGUGUAGCGGUGGAAUGCGCAGAUAUCAGGAGGAACACCAACGGCGAAGGCAGCUCGCUGGGACGGUACUGACGCUGAGGCGCGAAAGCCAGGGGAGCAAACGGG
Molecule: ribosomal RNA, 253 nt
Filed under: uncultured bacterium
Lineage: Bacteria
Description: partial 16S ribosomal RNA
Rfam family: Bacterial small subunit ribosomal RNA
Source: RNAcentral